Molecule: long non-coding RNA, 512 nt
Organism: Macrobrachium nipponense
Lineage: Eukaryota; Metazoa; Arthropoda; Malacostraca; Decapoda; Palaemonidae
Exons: 5
Source: RefSeq, a predicted model, not a curated record
CCGAGGAGCUUCUUGGUUGUCGGUUGGUCGUUGAUUUCGACUUAUUGCAUAAUCUCCUUCUAUUCUCCUUUCGCUUGGAAUGUCCAAAAUGGUAAUGGAUUAAUUUAGAAUUUAAUCCCACCACUUUGUAGUUAGCUGUCGACUUCUGAUACUGAUAAUGAUUGUGUGUUUCGUGGUGGCUUCCACCCAAGCGGACCAUCGCACAGUUCGACGGGCGUGUGCUAGGUGGUGUGGAAGAGUUUGCUGCGACCCGCUUUGUGAUCGUUGGUGUGGUAUCCCUCCUAAUCUCCAUUGCUGCGACGCCACCAUAGGGAAGUGACCCGUUGACAGCUAAAUUCCCGCAGCAGACUGAACACUUUUGGCCUCCUCCACACGUGAUAUCAACGGCGUUUCUUCUGGCUGUCAAACUGGACCUGAAUUAUACGCGUCUACCAUAAAGGAAGGACACGUGGACAACAAAUCUGUUAAUAUGGCUAGACGUCAUCAUCAAAAGAUCAAAUGUAUUGAUAUUA